Molecule: ribosomal RNA, 488 nt
Filed under: Magallana ariakensis (Suminoe oyster)
Lineage: Eukaryota; Metazoa; Mollusca; Bivalvia; Ostreida; Ostreidae
Description: partial 16S ribosomal RNA
Rfam family: Bacterial large subunit ribosomal RNA
Source: RNAcentral
CACUAGAAGAGAAAGACUUUUAGCAAUACCUGCCCAGUGCGAAAUAUUACUGUAAACGGCCGCCCUAGCGUGAGGGUGCUAAGGUAGCGAAAUUCCUUGCCUUUUGAUUGUAGGCCUGCAUGAAUGGUUUAACGAGGGUUUAACUGUCUCUUGAUUUAAAAUUGAAAUUGUACUGAAGGUGAAGAUACCUUCAUUAAAAAGUCAGACAAAAAGACCCCGUGCAACUUUGAAAAUUAACUUUAUUCAGAAGUGAAAGAUUUUUAGGUGGGGCGCCUAGAAAGUAAAUCUAACCUUUCUGAACAUUUAGCUCUUUCCGGACUUGACCCGAUUAUAUUCGAUCAUAGGAGAAGUUACGCCGGGGAUAACAGGCUAAUCCUUUAGUAGAGCUCGUAUUGGCUAAAGGGAUUGGCACCUCGAUGUUGAAUCAGGGAUGAUAGCUUCAAGGCGUAGAGGCUUUGAGAGUAGGUCUGUUCGACCUUUAAUACCCU